This 467-nucleotide ribosomal RNA is filed under the name uncultured bacterium. Its description in RNAcentral is "bacterial SSU rRNA". It matches the Rfam family "Bacterial small subunit ribosomal RNA", at positions 329 to 793 of the family's 1533-position model. The record is from RNAcentral.
GUCCAGACUCCUACGGGAGGCAGCAGUGAGGAAUAUUGGUCAAUGGGCGCGAGCCUGAACCAGCCAAGUAGCGUGAAGGAUGACUGCCCUACGGGUUGUAAACUUCUUUUAUAAAGGAAUAAAGUGAGGCACGUGUGCCUUUUUGUAUGUACUUUAUGAAUAAGGAUCGGCUAACUCCGUGCCAGCAGCCGCGGUAAUACGGAGGAUCCGAGCGUUAUCCGGAUUUAUUGGGUUUAAAGGGAGCGUAGGUGGAUUGUUAAGUCAGUUGUGAAAGUUUGCGGCUCAACCGUAAAAUUGCAGUUGAAACUGGCAGUCUUGAGUACAGUAGAGGUGGGCGGAAUUCGUGGUGUAGCGGUGAAAUGCAUAGAUAUCACGCAGAACUCCGAUUGCGAAGGCAGCUUACUAAACUAUAACUGACACUGAAGCACGAAAGCGUGAGGAUCAAACAGGAUUAGAUACCCCUGUAA